GAUGAACGCUGGCGGCGUGCCUAAUACAUGCAAGUCGAGCGAACAGACGAGGAGCUUGCUCCUCUGACGUUAGCGGCGGACGGGUGAGUAACACGUGGAUAACCUACCUAUAAGACUGGGAUAACUUCGGGAAACCGGAGCUAAUACCGGAUAAUAUAUUGAACCGCAUGGUUCAAUAGUGAAAGACGGUUUUGCUGUCACUUAUAGAUGGAUCCGCGCCGCAUUAGCUAGUUGGUAAGGUAACGGCUUACCAAGGCAACGAUGCGUAGCCGACCUGAGAGGGUGAUCGGCCACACUGGAACUGAGACACGGUCCAGACUCCUACGGGAGGCAGCAGUAGGGAAUCUUCCGCAAUGGGCGAGAGCUUGACGGAGCAACGCCGCGUGAGUGAUGAAGGUCUUCGGAUCGUAAAACUCUGUUAUUAGGGAAGAACAAAUGUGUAAGUAACUAUGCACGUCUUGACGGUACCUAAUCAGAAAGCCACGGCUAACUACGUGC
This 498-nucleotide ribosomal RNA is filed under the name uncultured bacterium. RNAcentral's name for it is "partial 16S ribosomal RNA". It matches the Rfam family "Bacterial small subunit ribosomal RNA", at positions 28 to 508 of the family's 1533-position model. The record is from RNAcentral.